UUCUUCAUGAGUGGAUCGGAGUCUCCAGAUUCUCAAAGUCUCAGAAAUAUCUUUCAAAAUAAGAUUUAUCAUCAGUUACUUCUUUGAUUCACAGACACCGGUUCUGGAUGUGGUGACCCCCUGAGAGGUGAGAUAACAGUCUGUCAGCCCUGGGAAAGCAUAACCAGAGGCAUAACCAGAGGCUUUCUGCUCCAUCCAGAAAUGCUGCUGUAAUUAUCAGACAUUUUGUUGGUUGUCCUCCACCCUGUUCUCCACCUGGAGCGAAGCUUUGGAAGGUCUGGACUCUAACCAUGGUUAUACAUCCGUGGUCAGAGUUCAUUCCAAGCACACCAGGCAUCUGCAGCCUAAAAACGUCAAAAAUGUUAAAACUUUAUUCAUUCACAUUUUUCUGUAACACUUUUUUACCCACAAUCCUAAUAUUUUUCCUUGUUAGAAUAUUUUCUGUUAUAUUAUGUGUGCUACUCUUGGCAAAAAAAAAAAAAAAUCUAUUGUUUAACAAAGUUAAAUGUUGUUCAUCCAAGUCAAAAAUAAGGUCAAAUAAAAUCCUAAAUAAAAUUCCGUUAGGCUUGUAGAAUCAGCAUUCAGCUCACGCUAAAUAAUAAAAAGCAAGAACAAUGCAAUGGCGCUGCUGCUGUUAAUUAUGUGCUGAUGUAAUGUCACGUCACAUUUGUUUGUUAAUGUUGCAUGGCGGAAAACGAUGUGGUUUGAUUUGACUUCAUCAAGCUGUUACUGAUCUGCAUCCUGAAAUGAUCGACUGACUUUUAAAGCCCUUCCUGAAGUUCCUGAAACUCCAGCUCCCGUGUCAAACACCGGAAUUAAAUUUGGUUUAAAAAAUAUAUUUUAAAAAUUAUAGAAUUUUUUUUUUUUUGACACCAAAGAGUAAUCAAUUACUGCAAUUGGUUGGCUUGGCUUAAGGUAAUGUUUCUUUUAACUUCUAUAUCUCUGGAACAGUUUAAAUCACAAAGUUCCAAGAUUAUUUUGCAAUAAAUUGAUGAAACAAAAAGUGUGGUUAAUUUGGACUCAUAUUUUUAAUGGUUCACUUUAAUUAUUUAUUUAUUUAUUGUCUUUUUUUUCAAAACUGACAUUGGAUAUUUUUAUAUGGACGCCUCACUGGAACUGUUACAGCUUGCUUUGAAUGCUUAAAAAUGUUUGUUUUACAAGUUUAGAAGCCUAUUCUAAAUGUUAGCAGGUUAAAAACAAAGUUCUCCAAGAAAUUCAGAACCAUCAAAAAGAUAUAAAUUCAUAUAAUUAGUUUGUUGCAU
Long non-coding RNA from Oryzias melastigma (Indian medaka), 1262 nucleotides. RefSeq lists it as uncharacterized. The record is from RefSeq and is a predicted model, not a curated record. The transcript is spliced from 3 exons. Lineage: Eukaryota; Metazoa; Chordata; Actinopteri; Beloniformes; Adrianichthyidae.